Molecule: small RNA, 50 nt
Filed under: Paenibacillus sp. P22
Lineage: Bacteria; Bacillati; Bacillota; Bacilli; Caryophanales; Paenibacillaceae
Description: ctRNA
Source: RNAcentral
UUAAGCACCCCCCGCUGCCAUCGGCAGCGGGGGGUGCUUUUUUUUUGAAU